This 766-nucleotide ribosomal RNA is filed under the name uncultured Glomus. Its description in RNAcentral is "SSU rRNA". It matches the Rfam family "Eukaryotic small subunit ribosomal RNA", at positions 342 to 1108 of the family's 1831-position model. Lineage: Eukaryota; Fungi; Glomeromycota; Glomeromycetes; Glomerales; Glomeraceae. The record is from RNAcentral.
UACCAUGGUGGUAACGGGUAACGGGGUGUUAGGGCACGACACCGGAGAGGGAGCCUGAGAAACGGCUACCACAUCCAAGGAUGGCAGCAGGCGCGCAAAUUACCCAAUCCCGACACGGGGAGGUAGUGACAAUAAAUAACAAUACGGGGUUCUUUAGGAUCUCGUAAUUGGAAUGAGUACAAUUUAAAUCCCUUAACGAGGAACAAUUGGAGGGCAAGUCUGGUGCCAGCAGCCGCGGUAAUUCCAGCUCCAAUAGCGUAUAUUAAAGUUGUUGCAGUUAAAAAGCUCGUAGUUGAAUUUCGGGAUCAAUACGUCGGUCGUGCUUUCGGGUACGUACUGGCGUCAUUGGUUUCUCCUUUCUGACGAACCAUGAUGUCAUUAAUUUGGUGUUAUGGGGAGUUAGGACUGUUACUUUGAAAAAAUUAGAGUGUUUAAAGCAGGCAUUAGCUUGAAUACAUUAGCAUGGAAUAAUGAAAUAGGACGUUCGAUCCUAUUUUGUUGGUUUCUAGGAUCAACGUAAUGAUUAAUAGGGAUAGUUGGGGGCAUUAGUAUUCAAUUGUCAGAGGUGAAAUUCUUGGAUUUAUUGAAGACUAACUACUGCGAAAGCAUUUGCCAAGGAUGUUUUCAUUAAUCAAGAACGAAAGUUAGGGGAUCGAAGACGAUCAGAUACCGUCGUAGUCUUAACCAUAAACUAUGCCGACUAGGGAUCGGAUGAUGUUAAUUUUUUAAUGACUCAUUCGGCGCCUUACGGGAAACCAAAGUGUUU